AUUGAACGCUGGCGGCAUGCUUUACACAUGCAAGUCGAACGGUAACAGGCCUUCGGGUGCUGACGAGUGGCGAACGGGUGAGUAAUGCAUCGGAACGUGCCCAAUCGUGGGGGAUAACGUAGCGAAAGUUACGCUAAUACCGCAUAAGCCCUGAGGGGGAAAGCAGGGGAUCGCAAGACCUUGCGCGAAUGGAGCGGCCGAUGUCAGAUUAGCUAGUUGGUGGGGUAAAGACCUACCAAGGCGACGAUCUGUAGCGGGUCUGAGAGGAUGAUCCGCCACACUGGGACUGAGACACGGCCCAGACCCCUAC
This 310-nucleotide ribosomal RNA is filed under the name uncultured bacterium. RNAcentral describes it as "bacterial SSU rRNA". It matches the Rfam family "Bacterial small subunit ribosomal RNA", at positions 30 to 342 of the family's 1533-position model. The record is from RNAcentral.